ACCGAAUUAACUUAAAGGUAAAAGUAUCUGUUUUGUAAACAGAAAAUACAGGUUCAAAUCCUGUAUUCGGUA
RNAcentral lists this transfer RNA (72 nucleotides) under Candidatus Vidania fulgoroideorum. RNAcentral describes it as "tRNA-Thr". It matches the Rfam family "tRNA". Rfam says of the family: Transfer RNA (tRNA) molecules are approximately 80 nucleotides in length. Their secondary structure includes four short double-helical elements and three loops (D, anti-codon, and T loops). Further hydrogen bonds mediate the characteristic L-shaped molecular structure. tRNAs have two regions of fundamental functional importance: the anti-codon, which is responsible for specific mRNA codon recognition, and the 3' end, to which the tRNAs corresponding amino acid is attached (by aminoacyl-tRNA synthetases). tRNAs cope with the degeneracy of the genetic code in two manners: having more than one tRNA (with a specific anti-codon) for a particular amino acid; and 'wobble' base-pairing, i.e. permitting non-standard base-pairing at the 3rd anti-codon position. Lineage: Bacteria; Pseudomonadati; Pseudomonadota; Betaproteobacteria. The record is from RNAcentral.